CAGUCGCCGCGGUAAUACAGAGGGUGCGAGCGUUAAUAGGAUUUACUGGGCGUAAAGCGUGCGUAGGCGGCUUCUUAAGUCGGAUGUGAAAUCCCUGAGCUUAACUUAGGAAUUGCAUUCGAUACUGGGAAGCUAGAGUAUGGGAGAGGAUGGUAGAAUUCCAGGUGUAGCGGUGAAAUGCGUAGAGAUCUGGAGGAAUACCGAUGGCGAAGGCAGCCAUCUGGCCUAAUACUGACGCUGAGGUACGAAAGCAUGGGGAGCAAACAGGAUUAGAUACCCCGGUAGUCCCUGUCUCUUAUAC
This 301-nucleotide ribosomal RNA is filed under the name uncultured bacterium. RNAcentral's name for it is "partial 16S ribosomal RNA". It matches the Rfam family "Bacterial small subunit ribosomal RNA", at positions 509 to 807 of the family's 1533-position model. The record is from RNAcentral.